Hemiscyllium ocellatum (epaulette shark) is the source of this 738-nucleotide long non-coding RNA. RefSeq lists it as uncharacterized. Lineage: Eukaryota; Metazoa; Chordata; Chondrichthyes; Orectolobiformes; Hemiscylliidae. The record is from RefSeq and is a predicted model, not a curated record. The transcript has 3 exons.
GCCAGGAAUCACACAGGGAGGGGAAAAGGAAAAUAAAUAAAGCUGGAUAAAUAGGAGCCCGGCUUCAACACGGCCAGCUUUUACCGAGAACACUGGAUCACCUCCCCCCCCCCCCACUCACUCCCUCCCUCUUCAAUUCACGUCGUUCUGUUCGAACGGGCUAAUACCAUAUUAUUUUUAAAAAGAUCAGCUCACCAGGAAAAAUCAAUGCCUCGAGCGGACGAAGGAGAGAUGAAGAUUCUGGAAUGAAGAUUGGAAACUUACAAAUGUCACCCCACUAUUUCAGAAGAAAUGAGGCAGAGAGAAAAAAAGGAACCACAACCUUGCGUCAAUAGAUGAUAAAGUAUUUGUGUGGAAAACUGGAGCACCAAUACUGUGAUCAAAUGACAGAACCUAGUUUAUAAGAGAGACAUAAAUAACAGCCGACUAGGAACUGAUAAUCUGAAGCAGAGACCAUAGAAGGAAAAUGCGUGGAUCCUGUUUGAAAACUGAUAUUUAAAGAGCAUGGGCCAUCAUUCUUCUCCUGAUUUGCUAGCAGUAAGCCACUGGGAAUUCACUGCCAGAAACGCAUGGUCUUCGUUGUCUUUAGUGAACCAAAUGAAACCCACCAGCCCUUCAAGGUUUCCAGAUAUCAUCUCAAAAACUGUCUGUGUGACUUUUGAACUUUUUAUAUAAUCUACAUACGUGCUACCUCAUUUAUAAUCAUUUUUACUUACGUCUUAUGUGUUAAUGGGUGCU